RNAcentral lists this ribosomal RNA (253 nucleotides) under uncultured bacterium. RNAcentral describes it as "partial 16S ribosomal RNA". It matches the Rfam family "Bacterial small subunit ribosomal RNA", at positions 524 to 776 of the family's 1533-position model. The record is from RNAcentral.
UACGAAGGGGGCUAGCGUUGUUCGGAAUUACUGGGCGUAAAGGGCGCGCAGGCUGUGCUGUAAGUCAGGCGUGAAAGCCCCGGGCUCAACCUGGGAAUUGCGCUUGAUACUGCGGCGCUGGAAGGUGGGAGAGGAUGGCGGAAUUCCCAGUGUAGAGGUGAAAUUCGUAGAUAUUGGGAAGAACACCGGUGGCGAAGGCGGCCAUCUGGCCCACAUUUGACGCUGAGGCGCGAAAGCGUGGGGAGCAAACAGG